Myotis brandtii (Brandt's bat) is the source of this 1074-nucleotide long non-coding RNA. RefSeq lists it as uncharacterized. The transcript has 3 exons. The record is from RefSeq and is a predicted model, not a curated record. Lineage: Eukaryota; Metazoa; Chordata; Mammalia; Chiroptera; Vespertilionidae.
UGUGUAACUGUAUGUGCUAUACUCUUAUACAAGUGGUAGUGCAGUAGGCUUGUUUGCACCAGCAUCAGCACAGACACGUGAGUAAUGCAUUGCUUUACGCUGCAACUCAUGUUGGCUGUGACGUCACUAGGUGAUAGGACUUUUUCAGCUUCAUUAAAAUGUUAUAGGACCACCGUGGUAUAUGGUAUAUAAGGUCCAUCAUUAACCAAAACAUUGUUAGGUGGUAUAUGAUUGUGUAAGAAUGAGAAAGACAGUAUGAGAGAAGAAAUGAAAAGCCAUCAAACUAGAAGUAUCUUGGAGAAAGUGCCCAAAACAAGCUGGUAAAGGCAGCUUGUUUUCCCACCUGGAUGAACUGGCCUGAAGGAUGCCUCUCACAGCCUUUUCAGAGGGGUAUCCUUUAUCUGCCUUUUCCAGUUUGGAAACCUUCCGGAGAAAACAUUCCUUUCUAGUAGAAAGAGAAUGAGAGUGAAAGCAUUCUUUGUCUGCAGAUUCCUGGGACGGCUUUGAAGAGACUGAGUAAAUGACUGGUGAAAUAAACCCCGCCUCCCUAUUUGUAACUGUGUCAGUGACAAUAUCCUGUGAUGAUUAAAACAGAACAAAACAAAAAAACCCAAAACUGUUGGUCUCCAGACAACUUUUAACCUAAAAUGCUUUGAUAAAAAGCCUUGCAGGAUAAUCAGAGGAUAUGUUCUGUCCGACUCCAGAGUCACAAAGCACAUUCUAACCUGGCUGAGAGUUGCACGCCCUGGGACAGGAAUGCAAUCCAUUCUUCUUUUUCUGAGGACGGCCUGUCAUCAUGGAAAGAUGAACAACCUUGUUGCUGAACCAAUCUGGUCUCGGAGGGCUGGCCAUUUACACCCCCCCAGCCUGCAUUGCCUAUAACCUGUAACCAUUAUAUCUUGCCUACUUCCCCAUGCUUGUAAUUCCUACUUUUCCAUGCAAUCUUUGUCUCUUCUCCCCUCUACCCAAUAUAAGCAGCUGGCUUAUGGGAAGGGGACAGCAGGAUUUUGUGCACGAUCUACUGCUCUCCUGUACCGCCAGCUUCAUUUAAAUAAAUGCUCAUAUAUGAUUCAA